GACGAACGCUGGCGGCGUGCCUAAUACAUGCAAGUCGAGCGCAGGAAACCGUCUGAACCCUCCGGGGGGACGACGGCGGAAUGAGCGGCGGACGGGUGAGUAACACGUAAAGAACCUGCCCAUAGGUCUGGGACAACCACGAGAAAUCGGGGCUAAUACCGGAUGUGUCAUCGGACCGCAUGGUCCGCUGAUGAAAGGCGCUCCGGCGUCGCCCAUGGAUGGCUUUGCGGUGCAUUAGCUAGUUGGUGGGGUAACGGCCCACCAAGGCGACGAUGCAUAGCCGACCUGAGAGGGUGAUCGGCCACACUGGGACUGAGACACGGCCCAGACUCCUACGGGAGGCAGCAGUAGGGAAUCUUCCACAAUGGACGAAAGUCUGAUGGAGCAACGCCGCGUGAACGAUGAAGGCUUUCGGGUCGUAAAGUUCUGUUGUAAGGGAAGAACAAGUGCCGCAGGCAAUGGCGGCACCUUGACGGUACCUUGCGAGAAAGCCACGGCUAACUACGUGCCAGCCGCCGCGGUAA
Molecule: ribosomal RNA, 524 nt
Filed under: uncultured bacterium
Lineage: Bacteria
Description: partial 16S ribosomal RNA
Rfam family: Bacterial small subunit ribosomal RNA
Source: RNAcentral